Megalobrama amblycephala (Wuchang bream) is the source of this 274-nucleotide long non-coding RNA. RefSeq lists it as uncharacterized. The transcript has 3 exons. Lineage: Eukaryota; Metazoa; Chordata; Actinopteri; Cypriniformes; Xenocyprididae. The record is from RefSeq and is a predicted model, not a curated record.
CCUCAUUCAUCUUCAUUAUAUUGAAGGAUAUUCUAUAUAAUUUCACCAUUUGUGUUCCACAAAAGAAAAAGUAAUAGGGGUGUGAGGUUAAGUAAAUAGUGUCAGAAUCAGUCACAAGAAGAUGAGGCAACAAUAAGAGAGAUAAUGAAGACCACAACAUCACAGACAACCAAGGGAAUUGUCACAGCCUGACAGUCACAAGAAGAUGAGGCAACAAUAACUGAGAUAAUGAAGACCAGAACAUCACAGACAACCAGGAGAAUCAGAGUUAUGC